RNAcentral lists this transfer RNA (107 nucleotides) under Ailuropoda melanoleuca (giant panda). It matches the Rfam family "tRNA". Rfam says of the family: Transfer RNA (tRNA) molecules are approximately 80 nucleotides in length. Their secondary structure includes four short double-helical elements and three loops (D, anti-codon, and T loops). Lineage: Eukaryota; Metazoa; Chordata; Mammalia; Carnivora; Ursidae. The record is from Rfam by way of RNAcentral.
GGGGAGAUAGCUCAGGGGUAGAGCAUUUGACUGCAAAAUCCCAUGAUCUGUCCAUUCGGGGCUCAGAAAAGACCAGGUCUGGUCUGGGACAAGUCCUAGUUGCCCCU